Pan troglodytes (chimpanzee) is the source of this 1142-nucleotide long non-coding RNA. RefSeq lists it as uncharacterized. The transcript has 5 exons. The record is from RefSeq and is a predicted model, not a curated record. NCBI's taxonomy places the organism in Eukaryota, Metazoa, Chordata, Mammalia, Primates, Hominidae.
GGCUGAACUCUGACCAGCCAAGAGAAAACCCCCCUCUCCGCCCCAAACAGCUCCCCACUCCCCCAGCCUGCCCCCACCCUCCCCACAUUCCAGUCUUUCACUGUCGCCCCAGGCAACUUGGCUGCCCAAGACCAAGCCCCACCAAGAAGCUGGAGGGCCAGGCAAGUCCAGGAUGGGCAAGCAGGGAAGCACGAGAGGGAGAAACAGAGAUAUUUUCUGAGCAUCUGUUUUGUGCUUAACACAGCACCACUACCUAAGGAAACCUGGAGAAAGUCGAAGAUAUGGUCCCUGGCAUUCAGAUGCUUAGUUUCUGUUGGGGAGAAAAGACUACACGGGCAAGACUGAGAGGGAAAUAAACAGGCAAUUUGAGAUAAUUCUAUGAAUAUAUUGAAGCUCCUUAUCAGUGUAAUUGUGGGGACUGGUCACCAGCUCUUGCUUGAGCUUUUCCAGAAGAAACUUCACUACUGAAAUAUUCCAAGAGGACUUGAUGCUGCCACAAAGAGAAGAGAAUGAAUAAAGUUGUCGGCUUUGUAAGAGCCAGACAAACAGAGAUACCCAGCACUAAUCAACUUUGUGGCAAAUCCCUCCACAGCCUAAGAAGGAUCCCUAGCAGCAAUCCUCAAGAGCCUCAGCAGAUUGGAGAGAUGCCUCUUUGAUUCCGUCCCAGAGCUAAAGAUUGGAACAACUGUCCCUCCCCCUCUAAACCCACAGUCUGCCACAAGAACAUUUUAAACCUUCCUCCAUGAUGGGCAGCAAAACUCCCUGACUAGUCCUCCAGAUCCUUCUCAAGCACAGAAUAGAGAGAGCAUGAUGGUGAGUGAGCAUACUGUCCUUCCUGCAGGUCUUCAGUUCCACCACACUCUCCUAAGGGAAGGAAGAAGCCAGGCCUCAAUGUUGUACCUCUCUCUGGAGGCAGCAGGCACAAGUGGAAUGGAAGUGAUGGAAAAUCCUGGUUUUAUGCAAAUUGUAACUAUAAACUCAUUAUAGUCAAUAUGAACAUUGUAUGGCUAAAGAAUGUCUCCAGCCAGGCAUGGUGGCUCACGCCUGUAAUCCCAACACUUUGGGAGGCCAAGGUGGGUGAAUUGCCUGAUCUCAGGAGUUCAAGACCAGUGUGGCCAACAUGGCGAAACCCCAUCUCUACU